Molecule: ribosomal RNA, 554 nt
Filed under: Stenotrophomonas sp.
Lineage: Bacteria; Pseudomonadati; Pseudomonadota; Gammaproteobacteria; Lysobacterales; Lysobacteraceae
Description: bacterial SSU rRNA
Rfam family: Bacterial small subunit ribosomal RNA
Source: RNAcentral
CUUCGGACCUUGCGCGAUUGAAUGAGCCGAUGUCGGAUUAGCUAGUUGGCGGGGUAAAGGCCCACCAAGGCGACGAUCCGUAGCUGGUCUGAGAGGAUGAUCAGCCACACUGGAACUGAGACACGGUCCAGACUCCUACGGGAGGCAGCAGUGGGGAAUAUUGGACAAUGGGCGCAAGCCUGAUCCAGCCAUACCGCGUGGGUGAAGAAGGCCUUCGGGUUGUAAAGCCCUUUUGUUGGGAAAGAAAUCCAGCCGGCUAAUACCUGGUUGGGAUGACGGUACCCAAAGAAUAAGCACCGGCUAACUUCGUGCCAGCAGCCGCGGUAAUACGAAGGGUGCAAGCGUUACUCGGAAUUACUGGGCGUAAAGCGUGCGUAGGUGGUCGUUUAAGUCCGUUGUGAAAGCCCUGGGCUCAACCUGGGAACUGCAGUGGAUACUGGACGACUAGAGUGUGGUAGAGGGUAGCGGAAUUCCUGGUGUAGCAGUGAAAUGCGUAGAGAUCAGGAGGAACAUCCAUGGCGAAGGCAGCUACCUGGACCAACACUGACACUGAG